UGCGUAGGUGGCAUGGUAAGUCGGAUGUGAAAUCUCCGAGCUCAACUCGGAAAUGGCAUUGGAAACUGCCGUGCUCGAGGGUUGGAGGGGGGACUGGAAUGCUUGGUGUAGCAGUGAAAUGCGUAGAUAUCAAGCGGAACACCAGUGGCGAAGGCGAGUCCCUGGACAACUCCUGACACUGAGGCACGAAAGCUAGGGGAGCAAACAGGAUUAGAUACCCUGGUAGUCCUAGCCGUAAACGGUGCACGUUUGCUGUAAAAGGAUUCGACCCCUUUUGUGGCGUAGCCAACGCGUUAAACGUGCCGCCUGGGAAGUACGGUCGCAAGAUUAAA
Molecule: ribosomal RNA, 332 nt
Filed under: uncultured bacterium
Lineage: Bacteria
Description: bacterial SSU rRNA
Rfam family: Bacterial small subunit ribosomal RNA
Source: RNAcentral